GCAGGGCCUGAUGGUGGUGAAUCUUGGGAUGAUAGAAUUGUACGUCUGAUGUGAAUAUUGGAGCCUCCGGAGAUGAACUCAGUUGACCUUCUAAACCCAUCAAUUAAGUUAGGACGUGCUUCUUCAGAUCCACGAGAAAACAUGGCGAGAAGCUGAUAUAUGCAUUCAAACAAUCAAAAACAUCUCCCCCAUGGAAAUGAAAGCUAACAACCAAAAAAGAAAACUGUUGAAAAUUGUAGAAAAAAGAUGCAUUACCAUAUAUGGUUCGAAUUCCGAGGAGGCGAAAUGGCAAUCGCCGGCAGUGGUGAGAACCAUUUCGACGGUCUUCGUUCUGGCCUCUGAACUGGAAAUUGCCAAUGCGCUGAGGAGGAUCACAAAUACAACCACAUAACCAGGUCUUCUCAAUUCCAUUUCUGUGUGAACCCUCAUUCCAUACGUAAUUUUCUCUUUUCAUUUCAUCGAACUCGAAGGAAUUUCUUUAUCUCAAAACCCAUUCGUUCGAAUUGAAACGUGCGAAUCAAUCGUCCACUACGAUGGAAUUACUUCAAUCUCAUGCACACAACUGUUGUGAAAUCGACGAAAUUACGAGGUUUCAGAGGUUGAAUCCCCUGGCCGGCGGAUGAUAUUUUUGUUCCUCCUCAGCAGAAUUUCCCCUGGGUUUUGCCUUCGAAAUCAAAAAAGUGGAAUUCUUUUCCCCCCGUUGUAUUUCCAAGAUAUCUUUUCUUGAUAUCCGAAAGGGAGGGAAAAAAAUGUUGCGCUAAACACAGACGUUUUCUUUUUCUUUUAUUUAACUUUUUUUCUUUUUC
This is a long non-coding RNA of Cucurbita maxima (winter squash), 806 nucleotides long. RefSeq lists it as uncharacterized. The transcript has 3 exons. The record is from RefSeq and is a predicted model, not a curated record. NCBI's taxonomy places the organism in Eukaryota, Viridiplantae, Streptophyta, Magnoliopsida, Cucurbitales, Cucurbitaceae.